GACGAACGCUGGCGGCGUGCUUAACACAUGCAAGUCGAACGGAAAGGCCCUGCUUUUGUGGGGUGCUCGAGUGGCGAACGGGUGAGUAACACGUGAGUAACCUGCCCUUGACUUUGGGAUAACUUCAGGAAACUGGGGCUAAUACCGGAUAGGAGCUCCUGCUGCAUGGUGGGGGUUGGAAAGUUUCGGCGGUUGGGGAUGGACUCGCGGCUUAUCAGCUUGUUGGUGGGGUAGUGGCUUACCAAGGCUUUGACGGGUAGCCGGCCUGAGAGGGUGACCGGCCACAAUGGGACUGAGAGACGGCCCAGACUCCUACGGGAGGCAACAGUGGGGAAUAUUGCACAAUGGGCGGAAGCCUGAUGCAGCAACGCCGCGUGCGGGAUGACGGCCUUCGGGUUAUAAACCGCUUUCGCCUGUGACGAAGCGUGAGUGACGGUAAUGGGUAAAGAAGCACCGGCUAACUACGUG
RNAcentral lists this ribosomal RNA (468 nucleotides) under uncultured bacterium. RNAcentral describes it as "partial 16S ribosomal RNA". It matches the Rfam family "Bacterial small subunit ribosomal RNA", at positions 28 to 507 of the family's 1533-position model. The record is from RNAcentral.